GUGCCUGCGGAAGGAUCAUUACCGAGUGCGGGCCCUCUGGGUCCAACCUCCCAUCCGUGUCUAUCUGUACCCUGUUGCUUCGGCGUGGCCACGGCCCGCCGAAGACUAACAUUUGAACACUGUCUGAAGUUUGCAGUCUGAGUUUUUAGUUAAACAAUAAUUAAAACUUUCAACAACGGAUCUCUUGGUUCCGGCAUCGAUGAAGAACGCAGCGAAAUGCGAUAAUUAAUGUGAAUUGCAGAAUUCAGUGAAUCAUCGAGUCUUUGAACGCACAUUGCGCCCCCUGGUAUUCCGGGGGGCAUGCCUGUCCGAGCGUCAUUGCUGCCCUCAAGCACGGCUUGUGUGUUGGGCUUCCGUCCCUGGUAACGGGGACGGGCCCAAAAGGCAGUGGCGGCACCAUGUCUGGUCCUCGAGCGUAUGGGGCUUUGUCACCCGCUCCCGUAGGUCCAGCUGGCAGCUAGCCUCGCAACCAAUCUUUUUAACCAGGUUGACCUCGGAUCAGGUAGGGAUACCCGCUGAACUUAAGCAUAUCA
RNAcentral lists this ribosomal RNA (533 nucleotides) under Aspergillus sp. Liaoning-Rsfb116. RNAcentral describes it as "eukaryotic LSU rRNA". The stretch from base 165 to 318 matches the Rfam family "5.8S ribosomal RNA". The record is from RNAcentral. Lineage: Eukaryota; Fungi; Ascomycota; Eurotiomycetes; Eurotiales; Aspergillaceae.